Octodon degus (degu) is the source of this 837-nucleotide long non-coding RNA. RefSeq lists it as uncharacterized. NCBI's taxonomy places the organism in Eukaryota, Metazoa, Chordata, Mammalia, Rodentia, Octodontidae. The record is from RefSeq and is a predicted model, not a curated record. The transcript has 3 exons.
GGCGCGCUUGCGUCACUGCCCAGCCAGCUGGAUCUGGUUCCAGCCGAGAAGUCCGUCUGACCUGCGCAAUGCUUGUGCGCUGCGGCGGGCUGUGGGCCGGGCGAGAGGGUGCCGGGUUCGUAUGAGGGUCCCGGCUGGCCUUCCCAGACGACGCCCGCUAGCCGGGACGCGGAGGGACAAGUGGCAUUUCUUUCUGCUAUGACCCAUUUUGGGACAGCAGUGGCCUGAACAGGACCUAGGCUAAGUGGUAGAAACACAGAGGCUUCCUGUCUGUUGCAGCUGGAGACAUUUCAUUAUCCUCAGUUCCAUUUCCCAGGAAAAGAAUGUGUGAGUUAACCUUCUUAAAGUGAAUAAUUGGGAUAAUAAGACUGAUUCAGGUCUAGAAGAGCUGAUCAAAAAUAUCGUGAAUAUUUUUUAAAUGUAUUACAACGAACAACACAUUGCCAUUAAUGCCCCCCCCCCCAAAUACUCCCUCUUGCUUCAAACACUUAUCCUAUACUUAUUGCUACUUUCCAAAGCAUUCUGGAAAUCCUUGUUCAUAAGUGUCUUGAUGAGAUGUGAUCAAAAAUAUAGUAAAUGCUGUUGCCAGUGCCAUCCAGUGAAAAGGCAGGCUCAUGAAAAGCAUGAUGGUGUGCCCUUACCCAUUUUAUUGAUCAGAUAUGGCCCCAUGCAACUUCUGUCUGAUGACCAUACAAACUCAAAAUGACGUAGAAGGUAAACAUUUUCAAUCAGGACAUCGAGGCAGCUAUAACAGUGCAACUAAAGUCACUCGUGAAAGGAGACUUCCAGAACUACUUUAAAAAGUGGCAAGAAUGAUGGGACAAGUAUGUUCAAAGA